GAGCGAACGGACGAGAAGCUUGCUUCUCUGAUGUUAGCGGCGGACGGGUGAGUAACACGUGGAUAACCUACCUAUAAGACUGGGAUAACUUCGGGAAACCGGAGCUAAUACCGGAUAAUAUUUUGAACCGCAUGGUUCAAAAGUAAAAGACGGUCUUGCUGUCACUUAUAGAUGGAUCCGCGCUGCAUUAGCUAGUUGGUAAGGUAACGGCUUACCAAGGCAACGAUGCAUAGCCGACCUGAGAGGGUGAUCGGCCACACUGGAACUGAGACACGGUCCAGACUC
This 285-nucleotide ribosomal RNA is filed under the name uncultured bacterium. RNAcentral's name for it is "partial 16S ribosomal RNA". It matches the Rfam family "Bacterial small subunit ribosomal RNA", at positions 64 to 338 of the family's 1533-position model. The record is from RNAcentral.